UGCAUAUUCAAAAAGCGGAGGAAAAGAAACCAACAGGGAUUGCCCUAGUAACGGCGAGUGAAGCGGCAACAGCUCAAAUUUGAAAGCUGGCUCCGGCCCGCAUUGUAAUUUGCAGAGGAUGCUUCUGGUGAGGUGCCUUCCGAGUUCCCUGGAACGGGACGCCAUAGAGGGUGAGAGCCCCGUAUGGAUGGACACCAAACCUGUGUGAAGCUCCUUCAACGAGUCGAGUAGUUUGGGAAUGCUGCUCUAAAUGGGAGGUAAAUCUCUUCUAAAGCUAAAUACCGGCCAGAGACCGAUAGCGCACAAGUAGAGUGAUCGAAAGAUGAAAAGCACCUUGAAAAGGGGGUUAAACAGUACGUGAAAUUGUUGAAAGGGAAGCGCUUGUGACCAGACUUGCGCCGGGCAGCUCAUCAGGGGUUCUCCCCUGUGCACUCUGCCCGGCUCAGGCCAGCAUCGGUUCUCGUGGGAGGAUAAGAACGGUAGGAACGUGGCCCCCUUCCGGGGGGGUGUUAUAGCCUACCGUACGAUACUCCCGUGGGGACCGAGGUUCGCGCUCCGCAAGGAUGCUGGCGUAAUGGUCAUCAGCGACCCGUCUUGAAACCACGGACCAUU
This 612-nucleotide ribosomal RNA is filed under the name Cytospora schulzeri. Its description in RNAcentral is "partial large subunit ribosomal RNA". It matches the Rfam family "Eukaryotic large subunit ribosomal RNA", at positions 37 to 670 of the family's 3401-position model. The record is from RNAcentral. Lineage: Eukaryota; Fungi; Ascomycota; Sordariomycetes; Diaporthales; Cytosporaceae.